Molecule: ribosomal RNA, 509 nt
Filed under: uncultured bacterium
Lineage: Bacteria
Description: bacterial SSU rRNA
Rfam family: Bacterial small subunit ribosomal RNA
Source: RNAcentral
UAGUCCACGCUGUAAACGAUGAGCACUAACCAUUGCGGGUGUUGACCCCUGCAGUGGUACAGCUAACGCGUUAAGUGCUCCGCCUGGGGAGUACGGUCGCAAGACUAAAACUCAAAGGAAUUGACGGGGGCCCGCACAAGCGGUGGAUUAUGUGGUUUAAUUCGAAGCAACGCGCAAAACCUUACCUGGGCUUGAAAUCCGGAGAACUUUUCAGAGAUGAAUUGGUGCCCUUCGGGGAAUUCCGUGACAGGCGCUGCAUGGCUGUCGUCAGCUCGUGUUGUGAAAUGUUGGGUUAAGUCUCGCAACGAGCGCAACCCCUAUCUUUAGUUGCCAGCAUUAAGUUGGGCACUCUAGAGAGACUGCCUGGGUUAACCAGGAGGAAGGUGGGGAUGACGUCAAGUCCUCAUGGCCCUUAUGUCCAGGGCUACACACGUAAUACAAUGGUUAGUACAGAGGGAAGCGAACCCGCGAGGGGGAGCGAAUCUCAAAAAGCUAAAUCUCAGUCCGGA